This 405-nucleotide long non-coding RNA is filed under the name Setaria viridis. RNAcentral's name for it is "long non-coding RNA (SVIR_LNC009555)". Lineage: Eukaryota; Viridiplantae; Streptophyta; Magnoliopsida; Poales; Poaceae. The record is from RNAcentral.
UGAAGUAGAAAAUGGAGAGGUAUUUUGAGCUAGAAUGUGAGGGAGAUUGAUGUGUCAUAUAUAGUAUGUAUCCUUGCAGUGGUUUAAGAAUGAUGCUACCCUUGUCUAGACGGUUUAUCUUGUCAAAUUCAAUAUGAUUUUUCAAAUCCAUACUUGUUGAACUUGCAUACCGUGUUCAUCUCGGUGAGCAUGUUCUCUGCCGAGCAGCAACGUACGUCAAGGAGGAGCUCCAAUUCUACGAGAAAGAGCGGAUACAGACAUCAUGGAAGACCGUGUCCCCUUUUUCGUAGAAUCAAAGCUCUUCCAUGAUGAAGUACGAGGCCACCCAGUUGAGAAUGUGCUCGCUAGAUGAUCACGGUCUUCAAGUUCAACAAGUUUUGCAAUGCUAAGGUAUGAAUUUUUGCA